RNAcentral lists this non-coding RNA (30 nucleotides) under Mus musculus (house mouse). Lineage: Eukaryota; Metazoa; Chordata; Mammalia; Rodentia; Muridae. The record is from RNAcentral.
UGGUAAAGUAAGGAAGAGCCUGCUAUUGGU